CCUACGGGAGUCAGCAGUGAGGAAUAUUGGUCAAUGGCCGGAAGGCUGAACCAGCCAUGCCGCGUGAAGGUCAGUGACCUAUGGGCGUUAAACUUCUUUUGUGCGGGAGCAAUAAUGGUCACGUGUGGCCAGACGAGAGUACCGGACGAAUAAGCAACGGCUAACUCCGUGCCAGCAGCCGCGGUAAUACGGGGGAUGAAAGCGUUAUCCGGAGUUAUUGGGUUUACAGGGUGCGCAGGCGGGAGAUCAAGUCAGCGGUAAAAUGUCGGGGCUCAAACCCGGCCGGCCGUUGAAACUGGUUUUCUAGAGUUGGAGAGAAGUAUGCGGAAUUCGUGGUGUAGCGGUGAAAUGCAUAGAUAUCACGAAGAACUCCGAUUGCGAAGGCAGCAUACCGGCUCCAUACUGACGCUGAGGCACGAAAGUGUGGGUAUCAAACAGGAUUAGAUACCCUUGUAGUC
RNAcentral lists this ribosomal RNA (458 nucleotides) under uncultured bacterium. RNAcentral's name for it is "partial 16S ribosomal RNA". It matches the Rfam family "Bacterial small subunit ribosomal RNA", at positions 338 to 795 of the family's 1533-position model. The record is from RNAcentral.